UAAUGGCCUCUGCAAAUGGCCUUCUCUGCAGUCCUUUUACCUUCAACCCCUCUGCUAAUUGCUCAACUCUGUUUUUUAUUUCACUUUCAAAUUCCUGGGAGAAAAAUCUCAUUGCCCUGCCUAAUCAACAUCAUCCCUUGCUAGACAAAGCUGUUCUGUCAAACCACCUAAUAAACCUCUGGAUAUUGGCUGGCCUUUUAUCACUUGGUCUAGGAAAUGUUGUG
RNAcentral lists this long non-coding RNA (224 nucleotides) under Homo sapiens (human). Its description in RNAcentral is "HSALNT0373681". The record is from RNAcentral. Lineage: Eukaryota; Metazoa; Chordata; Mammalia; Primates; Hominidae.